CUACGGUCAAAAUUACGUUGAAACAUCGGCUCUCGUACGAACACCAAAGUUUAGCAACGUCGAGCGUGGUCAGUACCUCGAUGGGUGACCGCUUGGGAAUACCAGGUGUUGUAUG
Acanthosepion pharaonis is the source of this 115-nucleotide non-coding RNA. NCBI's taxonomy places the organism in Eukaryota, Metazoa, Mollusca, Cephalopoda, Sepiida, Sepiidae. The record is from the annotation of a GenBank genome assembly.